CCGUUAACCCUUUCAAAUGGGUGCUUAAAAUUGUUUGGCCAAUGGCGGACAUGUUUUUUUGAGAUAUGCAAAUGUCCUCAUAGGUACUUGUGCCCCUUCAGACCAAGACACUGCAUACCAAUUUUCAAGUCGAUCGAGUCAACGGUUGCCUAGUUAUAGCCAUUUAUGUGUUUUUUCUUUUUAUAGCGCCCCCAAGUGGCAGAUGUGUGCAAUUUUUUUUAUUUGACCAAAGUUUUAGCUCAUACAAAUGUUCAGCGAGUUUGGUUUAGAUAUCUCAUUUCAUUCAUGAGUUAUAGCCUGUUGCGUAAAAUUGGUCCUCGACUUUCGAACAUUUUGGCAUCCCAUUACGACAGUGAGUCGAAAUUUCUACUUUUUUUUGAUAAUUAUUGAUAUUCACUGGACAGAGAACAUUUCUGCAGUGGUUUGGUUCAGAUUGGGCGAAAAACCUAGGACUAGUUCGCAAAAGUAGGUUUUGGACAUACGUCAAAUUUGCGAAAAAACGAGGCCUCCUAGACCCAAAAUCAGAGUGACCGUUUUUAAUUUCGCAUGACCCACGGAUUCCAGAAAUGUUAAAUUUUUGGCUCUAUCACAAGCGGUUUAGGAGCUAUUAGCAAGAACGCAUUUUUGAUCGCUGUAGCGCCCCCCACUGGCCGAUUGGGCCGGAUCUUUGCGCCUGAGUAGCGAGCAAGACUACUACCUUUUGACCAAGUUUCAAGUCUCUAGGCCUUACGGUUUGGGCUGCCCGUUCAGUUUUAAGGCGGAAAAAUAAUAAUAAUAAUAAUAAAAAUCCUAACAAUUACAAUAGGGUUUCAGCACUGCGUGCUUGAACCCCUAAUAAUAAAAAUCCUAACAAUUACAAUAGGGUUUCAGCACUGCGUGCUUGAACCCCUAAUAAUUAAAGCUGCAAGCAGCAUUUACGGGGUUCAAGCACUUAAGGGAUCUUAGGUGGUCAGAGCCAACCUGGACAUAUAUGGAUGGCCGUUAAACACAUCCAAAAUGGAGAAUAGGCUAACAGACAGACACACACACUGAAAUUAAAUGAUUAAACUCGUUUUUAAGAUUUUAGAUGUCAUUUUCAGGUUUCACUGUAAUCAUAAUGUGGUAAAAUUUUAAAAACUGAUAUGUCUGAAUGAACAAAAUGGAAAACUUUAACUCAAUGAGAUUUGAAAUGUUGUAAGAGUGUUUUUUGUAUUGUUUAGGCAUUACAUCCUUUCAACUGUACAGUUUAAGUUAGCUGAAUGAGCCCAUUAGUGGUUUUCCGCUGCCAUCUAGUGGUUAUAAAUGGCAAUUUCUCAUAUAUCAAUGUGUUAAUCCUUUUAACUCUUAGUGUUUUUUGCCCAAUAUCUCUUAAAUAUGGCAUGCUCGUUUAGAAUGAAAUUAUGCAUUAUUUUACACAGUUUUGAUAAUUUGUGGGCUUUCUGUUUGUAUUAAUAGGCCUUUGUGUACACUAUGCAAAUAACAUAUUAUAAAAUUACUGGUUUAUAGUUGUCCAAAUGCAAUUGUUCAACAUG
Carassius gibelio (silver crucian carp) is the source of this 1511-nucleotide long non-coding RNA. RefSeq lists it as uncharacterized. The record is from RefSeq and is a predicted model, not a curated record. Lineage: Eukaryota; Metazoa; Chordata; Actinopteri; Cypriniformes; Cyprinidae. The transcript is spliced from 3 exons.